This 200-nucleotide unclassified non-coding RNA is filed under the name Hevea brasiliensis (rubber tree). Lineage: Eukaryota; Viridiplantae; Streptophyta; Magnoliopsida; Malpighiales; Euphorbiaceae. The record is from RNAcentral.
CUGUUCAGAGAUGAAUCAGCCAGUUGAAGCUGGCUAUGGUUAGCUAGGGAGCGGUGCCCUCUACGGCAGACACCACGCGAGCGGAGGUAGAGCUGGCCGAGCAUAUCGAAGACCGCAAACUUCCUAUAUAAAUCUUGNNGACCGAGCAAACGCGGAGGGUUUUCUUCCUUGAUUUCGCCAUUAUGGGUGAAAGAAAAAAG